GGCCUACCCUCCCCUCGCCCGGUCGCCCCACAACCUCCUCACGCAACCUACCUGGCCGCGCCCGGCGGCCCUAGGCCUCCUCUAUAAAACCAUCGCCCCUGCGCACCGUCCUCCCCCACCUCCCGAUCAAGCCAUCCAGCCGCCUCUCCUCGCCCUCCUGCCUGCGCGCAUCUCUCUAGAGCUUAAACUCUCCUAGAGAGAUCUCAGGCAGCCCCAAUAACCAACCGCUCGACCCAACUCGUCGUCGUCGUCGUCGCAGAUGGCCGGCCUCAGGAUGAAGCUCGUCGCCGCCGCCGCCGUGGCCGCCGCGCUCGUGGCGUCCGCCGCCGCCCAGGCCCCCGCGCCAGCGCCCACCUCCGACGCCUCGGCCGCGGUGCCCCUCGCGGCGGCGUCCUUCGCCGCCGCCGCCUUCGGCUACCUCUUCUGCUAGAUCCGUCGUCCGGGGAUGCCGUCGUGCUCCCUGGCCGGUCGGGCCUGCUGAUGAUGAUAUGAUUCGUUUUGGCGUGAGUCGAGUCCCCUGUUCGUGGCGCGUGUUGAGGGAUGUCGGUGGGCGUGUGUAUGUACGAGUCGGCGGCGGGUGGAGGUGUGCGCGCGUGUUGGAUACGUGCGUCGACGCGCCACUCUUUGUGGUGGAGAUCAUGUACCCGCUGCGCUUCUGUUUAUCAAUGAGAUGAUUUAUUUGAUUCUUUUCAUCUUAUAUACAAUAUACAUGAGAAUUGCGUAUUCAGUUUGUUGUGUUUUGCUCUGCAAACUUGCGAUGUGCAGAUUGUUGUAAAACACUGUCGAACGAUUCUCCCUCAAUCGAGUUCUUCCGUUGCAAAGAAAAAGAAAACGGUGCAUCUCUCUUAAAAAACGAUUACUAUUCUUACGACCUGAAAAUUAAGGGGUGCAGGCUACAGUUCAAACAUGUAAUUGGAAUCUGAAAUCGAUUUGACCGACUAAGGAACUCACCAUCUGAACU
This 961-nucleotide long non-coding RNA is filed under the name Setaria viridis. RNAcentral describes it as "long non-coding RNA (SVIR_LNC002435)". Lineage: Eukaryota; Viridiplantae; Streptophyta; Magnoliopsida; Poales; Poaceae. The record is from RNAcentral.